This 468-nucleotide ribosomal RNA is filed under the name uncultured bacterium. RNAcentral describes it as "partial 16S ribosomal RNA". It matches the Rfam family "Bacterial small subunit ribosomal RNA", at positions 28 to 507 of the family's 1533-position model. The record is from RNAcentral.
GACGAACGCUGGCGGCGUGCCUAACACAUGCAAGUCGAACGGAAAGGCCCUGUUUUUGUGGGGUGCUCGUGUGGCGAACGGGUGAGUAACACGCGAGUAACCUGCCCUUGACUUCGGGAUAACUCCAGGAAACUGGGGCUCAUACCGGAUAGGAGCUCCUGCUGCAUGGUGGGGGUGGUAAAGUUUCGGCGGUUGGGGAAGGACUCGCGGUUUAUCAGCUUGUUGGUGAGGUAGUGGCUUACCAAGGCUAUGACGAGUGGCCAGACUGGGAGGGUGACCGGGCACAUUGGGACUGGGGAGCCACCAGGAGUGAUACGGGAGGAAGCGGUGGAAGAUAUUGCGCGAUGGGCGGAAGCAGGAAGCAAGGAUGCCGGGUGGGGAAUGACGGUUGUCGGGUAGUAAAGCGGUUGAGAGUGUGACGAAGCUUAAGUGACGGUAAUGAGUAAGGAAGCGCCGGCUAACUACGUG